AUCCUGCGCUGUUCGAUUUGUUGUAACCGUUUAUAAUCCUACAAGUUAAUGAAAAGGGAGCUCUGGUUAUCCGGCAGGCCUGCAGACCUCCCCGCCUCGGCGGGAAGAAGGGAGCGCGAAACCGGCGCCGGGCACCCACCUGUCUUCGCGACGGGUUUUAACAUGGUUGCAGACGGCAGUGCGGGACUU
This 189-nucleotide non-coding RNA is filed under the name Pygmaiobacter massiliensis. RNAcentral describes it as "6S / SsrS RNA". It matches the Rfam family "6S / SsrS RNA". From Rfam's summary of the family: E. coli 6S RNA was the first non coding RNA to be sequenced, but its function was unknown until recently. It consists of 184 nucleotides that fold into an extended hairpin structure with a large single-stranded internal bulge. The record is from RNAcentral. Lineage: Bacteria; Bacillati; Bacillota; Clostridia; Eubacteriales; Oscillospiraceae.